RNAcentral lists this transfer RNA (74 nucleotides) under Planctomycetota bacterium. RNAcentral's name for it is "tRNA-Met". It matches the Rfam family "tRNA". Rfam says of the family: Transfer RNA (tRNA) molecules are approximately 80 nucleotides in length. Their secondary structure includes four short double-helical elements and three loops (D, anti-codon, and T loops). Lineage: Bacteria; Pseudomonadati; Planctomycetota. RNAcentral also lists the same sequence under 1 other name. The record is from RNAcentral.
GGCGGCGUAGCUCAGUUGGUUAGAGCGUGGGCUUCAUAAGCCCGAGGUCCGCGGUUCGAGUCCGCGCGCCGCUA